Molecule: ribosomal RNA, 984 nt
Filed under: Triticum aestivum (bread wheat)
Lineage: Eukaryota; Viridiplantae; Streptophyta; Magnoliopsida; Poales; Poaceae
Description: partial small subunit ribosomal RNA
Source: RNAcentral
AUGUCUUCCUGUCUCACAGAUAUCAUUAGUGCCAAUGGUGUUGAUUUCAUUGGUCUUCAAGAGACCAUGAAGAAAAAUUAUAAAACCUCCUUUUUUAGGAAGCUUGACCCUAUGGCUAAUUUCCACUGGGAAUGGAUCCCUUCAAUUGGGAAAUCUGGAGGAAUCCUAUGUGGUGUGAGAGUAGAGAAGUUUGAUGUUAUUGACACUGUUUGUGGCAAGUACAUUUUGCAAAUUAACUUUUUUGACAAAAUUAAGAAGUGCAAGUGGGCUCUACUUGUCGUUUAUGGAGCUGCACAUGAUGAUAGGAAACCUGUGUUUUUGGCUGAGCUGUCCUCGUUUUGUAAUAAAAUUGACAUUCCUUAUCUGGUUGGGGGAGAUUUUAAUAUUCUUAGGCAUUGUGGAGAUAAAAACAAACAAACUCCUAUGUCUCAUUUCUCGGAUGUUUUUAAUUCUAUAAUCCAUUUACAUGGGCUGGGAGAGAUUUAUAUGUCCGACGGUUCUUUUACUUGGUCCAAUAAACAAGAAUGUCCUACUUUGGAGAAGUUGGACAGGGUCUUAAUGUCUCCUGAUUGGGAAGACGUGUUUCCCUUGGUCUCUUUUUGUAAGUUGGUUAAAGAGCUUUCGGACCAUAAUCCCCUACUUCUUGAUGGGGGGGCUCCUUCAAGGGCUCAGGGGAGCAGAUGUUUUAGGUUUGAUGUGACCUAGUUGAAUAACCCUGAUUUCCUCCCUCUUGUAGCUAAUAUUUGGUCUAAACCUGUGUAUACUGAGGAUGCUAUCGACACCCUUAAUAUUAAAUUGAAGAGGGCCAAACAAUUCUUUAAAGGGUGGGGGUCGAACAUUUUUGGUAAUAACAGAAUUAAUAAGAAUCUUCUCAGACUAGAACUUCAGGAAUUGGAGUUGCUAGAGGAGAAGAGUGACCUGUGUGGGGAAGCCUAUGCUACGAAACUUGAUAUUUUAGUGGAACUAAAUAAUAUGUAUACAUAG